GUCUCUUUGAGUUUUUUUAAUGAAGAGUUGGGCCUGCUCGGUGAUUAAUAUUUAACAGCUGCGGUAUUAUAACUGUACUAAGGUAGCAUAAUAAUUUGCUCUAUAAAUUGGGGCUAGAAUGAAUGGUUUGACGAGAAUUUAACUGUCUCUAUUUUAUUUAUUAGAAAUUAAUUUUUAUAGUGAAAAAGCUUUAAUUAUUUAAAGGGACGAAAAGACCCUAUUGAGCUUUUGUUAUUAUAUAGAUAUAUAUAUAUGUAUAUAUAUAUGAUUUAUUUGUAAAUAACUUUGGUUGGGGUGAUCAAGGAAUAAAAAUUAAUUUAAAGUGUUUUAUUAACUUCCUUAAUUUUAAAUUUAGUUGAAGAAUAAACCAAGUUUUUUGCUUAGAAGAUAAGUUACCAUAGGGAUAACAGCGUAAUUUUUUUUGAGAGUUCAUAUUGAAAAAAGAGAUUGCGACCUCGAUGUUGGAUUAAAAUUGACCUUAAGGUGUAGAGGCUUUAUUAGGUAAAUCUGUUCGAUUUUUAAAAUUUU
Molecule: ribosomal RNA, 528 nt
Filed under: Octopus vulgaris (common octopus)
Lineage: Eukaryota; Metazoa; Mollusca; Cephalopoda; Octopoda; Octopodidae
Description: partial 16S ribosomal RNA
Rfam family: Bacterial large subunit ribosomal RNA
Source: RNAcentral